RNAcentral lists this ribosomal RNA (739 nucleotides) under Enterococcus faecium. RNAcentral describes it as "bacterial SSU rRNA". It matches the Rfam family "Bacterial small subunit ribosomal RNA", at positions 69 to 780 of the family's 1533-position model. The record is from RNAcentral. Lineage: Bacteria; Bacillati; Bacillota; Bacilli; Lactobacillales; Enterococcaceae.
UUCUUUUUCCACCGGAGCUUGCUCCACCGGAAAAAGAGGAGUGGCGAACGGGUGAGUAACACGUGGGUAACCUGCCCAUCAGAAGGGGAUAACACUUGGAAACAGGUGCUAAUACCGUAUAACAAUCAAAACCGCAUGGUUUUGAUUUGAAAGGCGCUUUCGGGUGUCGCUGAUGGAUGGACCCGCGGUGCAUUAGCUAGUUGGUGAGGUAACGGCUCACCAAGGCCACGAUGCAUAGCCGACCUGAGAGGGUGAUCGGCCACAUUGGGACUGAGACACGGCCCAAACUCCUACGGGAGGCAGCAGUAGGGAAUCUUCGGCAAUGGACGAAAGUCUGACCGAGCAACGCCGCGUGAGUGAAGAAGGUUUUCGGAUCGUAAAACUCUGUUGUUAGAGAAGAACAAGGAUGAGAGUAACUGUUCAUCCCUUGACGGUAUCUAACCAGAAAGCCACGGCUAACUACGUGCCAGCAGCCGCGGUAAUACGUAGGUGGCAAGCGUUGUCCGGAUUUAUUGGGCGUAAAGCGAGCGCAGGCGGUUUCUUAAGUCUGAUGUGAAAGCCCCCGGCUCAACCGGGGAGGGUCAUUGGAAACUGGGAGACUUGAGUGCAGAAGAGGAGAGUGGAAUUCCAUGUGUAGCGGUGAAAUGCGUAGAUAUAUGGAGGAACACCAGUGGCGAAGGCGGCUCUCUGGUCUGUAACUGACGCUGAGGCUCGAAAGCGUGGGGAGCAAACAGGAUUA